GACAGCAGUCGCCACGGUAAAACGUAGGUGGCGAGCGUUGUCCGGAAUCAUUGGGCGUAAAGGGAGCGCAGGCGGGCAUGUAAGUCUUUCUUAAAAGUGCGGGGCUCAACCCCGUGAUGGGAAAGAAACUACAUGUCUUGAGUACAGGAGAGGAAAGCGGAAUUCCCAGUGUAGCGGUGAAAUGCGUAGAUAUUGGGAGGAACACCAGUGGCGAAGGCGGCUUUCUGGACUGCAACUGACGCUGAGGCUCGAAAGCCAGGGGAGCGAACGGGAUUAGAUACCCGCGUAGUCCCUGUCUCUUAUACA
Molecule: ribosomal RNA, 306 nt
Filed under: uncultured bacterium
Lineage: Bacteria
Description: partial 16S ribosomal RNA
Rfam family: Bacterial small subunit ribosomal RNA
Source: RNAcentral